RNAcentral lists this ribosomal RNA (497 nucleotides) under uncultured bacterium. RNAcentral describes it as "partial 16S ribosomal RNA". It matches the Rfam family "Bacterial small subunit ribosomal RNA", at positions 28 to 507 of the family's 1533-position model. The record is from RNAcentral.
GAUGAACGCUGGCGGCGUGCCUAAUACAUGCAAGUCGAGCGAACGGACGAGAAGCUUGCUUUUCUGAUGUUAGCGGCGGACGGGUGAGUAAAACGUGGAUAACCUACCUAUAAGACUGGGAUAACUUCGGGAAACCGGAGCUAAUACCGGAUAAUAUUUUGAACCGCAUGGUUCAAAAGUGAAAGACGGUCUUGCUGUCACUUAUAGAUGGAUCCGCGCUGCAUUAGCUAGUUGGUAAGGUAACGGCUUACCAAGGCAACGAUGCAUAGCCGACCUGAGAGGGUGAUCGGCCACACUGGAACUGAGACACGGUCCAGACUCCUACGGGAGGCAGCAGUAGGGAAUCUUCCGCAAUGGGCGAAAGCCUGACGGAGCAACGCCGCGUGAGUGAUGAAGGUCUUCGGAUCGUAAAACUCUGUUAUUAGGGAAGAACAUAUGUGUAAGUAACUGUGCACAUCUUGACGGUACCUAAUCAGAAAGCCACGGCUAACUACGUG